Molecule: ribosomal RNA, 319 nt
Filed under: uncultured Prevotella sp.
Lineage: Bacteria; Pseudomonadati; Bacteroidota; Bacteroidia; Bacteroidales; Prevotellaceae
Description: bacterial SSU rRNA
Rfam family: Bacterial small subunit ribosomal RNA
Source: RNAcentral
GAUGAACGCUAGCUACAGGCUUAACACAUGCAAGUCGAGGGGCAGCAUGACGAGUGCUUGCACUUGUUGAUGGCGACCGGCGCACGGGUGCGUAACGCGUAUCGAACCUUCCCCUUACUCGGGAAUAGCCCGGUGAAAACCGAAUUAAUGCCCGAUAUGUAUUUAGAUGGCAUCAGAAGAGUAUGAAAGAUUCAUCGGUCAUGGAUGGGGAUGCGUGGGAUUAGGUAGACGGCGGGGUAACGGCCCACCGUGCCAUCGAUCCUUAGGGGUUCUGAGAGGAAGGUCCCCCACACUGGUACUGAGACACGGACCAGACUCC